AUACACAAAUCCCCGCUACACCACAACGCGCGUGUUUAAGUCCGGUAUAUGUGUACCGAUCGUACGUCGUCAUCGUCGUCUUCGUUGUGAUCCAAACCGCCGGGGCGAUAUUCAUAUCCAUUGUCAAGUUGACGAUGGCUGAUUAUCAAUAUGGAUUGUCUAAUAUUCAAGACAAUCAUAUUCUGCAUCAAGUUAUUGCUAAACGAAAAAAAAUGUGCGAAUCUAUCAUAAAUGAUCCACCAGUAUCUGACAGUAAUGCCUGGUGUCCCGGAGAAUUUGAUGGCUGGACGUGUAUUAACCGGACAAAGGCUGGCGAAGUAGCCAAAUUUCCAUGUCCUUAUUUUAUUUUGGGGUUUGAUACAAAACGUUUCGGUCAGAAAACGUGUCUGCCGGACGGCUCGUGGUUCAAGCAUCCGGACAGCAACAAGACGUGGUCCAACUAUACUACGUGCGUCGAUCUGGACGAUCUAAAGUUGAGGAAUCAAGUCAACAUGAUCUACAAAUGGGGAUACACGGUAUCGCUGGCUGCGUUGGCGGUUUCCAUAUUCAUAUUCUUUUAUUUCAGGAGCUUAACGUGCACUAGGAUACAGAUACAUAAGAAUCUGUUCAUAUCGCUGGCAGUCAAUAAUUGUCUGUGGCUAGUGUGGUAUGAGGCGGUGGUUGACAAUUUGCCAGUACUGAUGAUGAACGGGCUGGGCUGUAAGCUGCUGCAUAUUCUGGUCCAGUAUUUUCUGGUGGCCACUUACUUUUGGAUGUUUUGUGAGGGCUUGUACUUGCAUACACUGCUGGUUGUCACGUUCCUUACAGAGUCAAAAGUGAUGCCGUUCCUGCACACGAUCGGCUGGGGUAUACCGGCCCUGUUGGUGUCAACGUACGCGGUUCUCCGGACAGCCACUCCCGGCGAGACUUUACAUUGUUGGAUACACGAAUCUCUUUAUUCGUGGAUAUUGUCGGGUCCGGUGUGCCUGUCAAUGUUGGCCAAUCUCGUAUUUCUGAUCAACAUCGUCAGACUGCUGUUGGUCAAGUUGCACGCCCGGCAGAUCACCAUGUCCAGUCCAAAGCACGCGGCGCCUAGGGAACGGGCGCAGUCGUUCAGCCUCAGGAGCUUCAAACGGAAUAAUUGCAGUGUUGACAGCUACGAUAAGGCACCGACGUCGUCGAGUCGGACCGGGAAGGCAGUCCGGGCCACACUAAUUUUGAUACCGUUACUCGGGCUCCAGUACAUCGUGACGCCGUUCCGACCGGAACCCGGCACUUCUUGGGAGCCCGUGUACCAGGUUACAUCCGCAGUAGUCGCCUCGUGUCAAGGCUUAUGCGUGGCGCUGUUGUUUUGCUUUUUCAAUGGGGAGGUGAAGACGCCAACAGGGCUUAUAAUAAUAAUAUUAAUUGCUCUUAGUCCUUAGAUAACAACAAUUUUUUGUUCGGGUACGAGCAGGUACUCUCCGAAAUAAAGAAAAGAUGGAAACACUGCUGGAUCAACAAGAACGGGUCGUGGAAUCCUUGCCUGAGAGUCACGUCUGUAUCCUCGCCGCAAAACCACCCACGACUAUUGGUGACCGAAGACCAACAGACCCAGAGGACUGGAAGCAUACAAGUUUUGCCGCGAAAAGAUUCUGCUGAAUGUUUACAAAAUGUUCAACUCUAGAACACACAAAAAACGCGUUACGACAUUAUUUUUAUUUUUUUCUUAUACAAUUUAAUACGUGUAAUAUAUUAUGAUAUAAUAUUUUUCUGUCGCCGUUCAGACGAUGGCGUCCCUUAUCUGCGACUGAACCGGUUGUGUGGUGCCCGUGACGUUGGUGUGCGUCGUGCCACGUCUUUUGAUUCUCCGUAUGUACUUGUGAAAUGCUCCGUGUACGUCAACGUUGGCGAAACAAAACAACACGGAAACGCAAAGGCCCUGCAGAACACGUCAAUAAACGACACGGUUAGAAAAUGGCAGCAGCGGUUACUAGGGGCGUUCCCUCGACUGCAGUCAUUUCACUCACCUGAGUCGACACGAGUAUCACGGAAAAUAUUUGAUAAACUGUUUCCACGGUGGUCUUGUGCUUGGGCCGAUACGGUAUGAGAAUGUAGUGUAUGCCAAACAAGGGCACCAGGAUCAGCGCUGCCCUGACCGCCUUACG
Rhopalosiphum maidis (corn leaf aphid) is the source of this 2126-nucleotide RNA transcript. It is a transcript of the gene named calcitonin gene-related peptide type 1 receptor-like, with no coding region annotated. The transcript is spliced from 11 exons. The record is from RefSeq and is a predicted model, not a curated record. NCBI's taxonomy places the organism in Eukaryota, Metazoa, Arthropoda, Insecta, Hemiptera, Aphididae.